Molecule: ribosomal RNA, 290 nt
Filed under: uncultured bacterium
Lineage: Bacteria
Description: partial 16S ribosomal RNA
Rfam family: Bacterial small subunit ribosomal RNA
Source: RNAcentral
GGAUUAAUCCUCUAUAACAUCUUUUAAUUUCAUGAUUAAUUGAUUAAAGUUUUAACGGUAAAAGAUGGGCAUGCGUCCUAUUAGUUUGUAGGUGAGGUAACGGCUCACCUAGACUACGAUAGGUAGGGGCCCUGAGAGGGGGAUCCCCCACACUGGUACUGAGACACGGACCAGACUCCUACGGGAGGCAGCAGUAAGGAAUAUUGGACAAUGGACGAAAGUCUGAUCCAGCCAUGCCGCGUGCAGGAUGAAAGCCCUAUGGGUUGUAAACUGCUUUUAUACAGGAAGAA